GAUGAACGCUGGCGGCGUGCCUAAUACAUGCAAGUCGAGCGAACAGUCGAGGAGCUUGCUCCUCUGACGUUAGCGGCGGACGGGUGAGUAACACGUGGAUAACCUACCUAUAAGACUGGGAUAACUUCGGGAAACCGGAGCUAAUACCGGAUAAUAUAUUGAACCGCAUGGUUCAAUAGUGAAAGACGGGUUUGCUGUCACUUAUAGAUGGAUCCGAGCCGCAUUAGCUAGUUGGUAAGGUAACGGCUUACCAAGGCGACGAUGCGUAGCCGACCUGAGAGAGGGAUCGGCCACACUGGAACUGAGACACGGUCCAGACUCCUACGGGAGGCAGCAGUAGGGAAUCUUCCGCAAUGGGCGAAAGCCUGACGGAGCAACGCCGCGUGAGUGAUGAAGGCCUUCGGAUCGUAAAACUCUGUUAUUAGGGAAGAACAAAUGUGUAAGUAACUAUGCACGUCUUGACGGUACCUAAUCAGAAAGCCACGGCUAACUACGUG
Molecule: ribosomal RNA, 497 nt
Filed under: uncultured bacterium
Lineage: Bacteria
Description: partial 16S ribosomal RNA
Rfam family: Bacterial small subunit ribosomal RNA
Source: RNAcentral